RNAcentral lists this ribosomal RNA (437 nucleotides) under uncultured bacterium. RNAcentral describes it as "partial 16S ribosomal RNA". It matches the Rfam family "Bacterial small subunit ribosomal RNA", at positions 28 to 507 of the family's 1533-position model. The record is from RNAcentral.
GAUGAACGCUGGCGGCAUGCUUUACACAUGCAAGUCGAACGGGAAGUGGUGUUUCCUGUGGCGGGCGGGAGAGUAACGCGUAAGAACCUGCCCUUGGGAGGGGAACAACAGCUGGAAACGGCUGCUAAUACCCCGUAGGCUGUGGAGCGUAAGGAGGAAUGCGGCCAAGGGGGGGCUGGCGUCUGAUUGGCUAGUUGGUGUGGUAAUAGCUUACCAAGGCCGUGAGCAGUGGGUGGUCCGAGAGGAUCAUCAGCCACACUGCGGCGGAGAGACGGAGCCGCCUCCGGGGGGAAGCAGUAGGGGGGAAUGUACCGUAGUGGGAGAACGGCUGAAGGAGCGAUGCGGGGGGGAGGUAAAAGGUCGACGGGUCAUGAGCUUUCUCUCGUGGCGAAGAAAGAAUGACGGUAACUGGUGAAUAAGCACCGGCUAACUACGUG